CAAGACUCCUACGGGAGGCAGCAGUGGGGAAUAUUGCACAAUGGGGGAAACCCUGAUGCAGCGACGCCGCGUGAGUGAAGAAGUAUUUCGGUACGUAAAGCUCUAUAAGCAGGGAAGAUAAAGACGGCACCUGAGUAAGAAGCCCCGGCUAACUACGUGCCAGCAGCCGCGGUAAUACGUCGGGGGCAAGCGUUAUCCGGAUUUACUGGGUGUAAAGGGAGCGUAGACGGCAGCACAAGUCUGGAGUGAAAUCCCGGGGCUUAACCCCGGAACUGCUUUGGAAACUGUAUGGCUAGAGUGCUGGAGAGGUAAGCGGAAUUCCUAGUGUAGCGGUGAAAUGCGUAGAUAUUAGGAGGAACACCAGUGGCGAAGGCGGCUUACUGGACAGUAACUGACGUUGAGGCUCGAAAGCGUGGGGAGCAAACAGGAUUAGAUACCCUGGUAA
Molecule: ribosomal RNA, 445 nt
Filed under: uncultured bacterium
Lineage: Bacteria
Description: bacterial SSU rRNA
Rfam family: Bacterial small subunit ribosomal RNA
Source: RNAcentral